Long non-coding RNA from Gadus morhua (Atlantic cod), 413 nucleotides. NCBI's taxonomy places the organism in Eukaryota, Metazoa, Chordata, Actinopteri, Gadiformes, Gadidae. The record is from Ensembl.
CACAUAUAUCAGGCUGAGGUUUGUGGAACCAAAAACAAGGAGAAGGGUCCAGCUGCAGGCUUGGGCGUUCCCGUCAUGACACAAAAACGCCCAUCGGGCGUUCCCGUCAUGACACAAAAACGCCCAUCAGGCGUUCCUGUAGCGUUUCAUCGAUCAAUCAAGAAGAGGUGAGUGAGUUUCUCAAGGCAUGCUGGGUAUGCUACCCUUCCUUUUUUGGCGGUUUUACCUCGUAGUAACUUUCCAGAAAAACGAAAGGGUUAUGAUGAGAGAUUAUGUCAUACCCUGGCACAUGCUUUGUCCAAUGGACCAUGGAAGGGACUUUACUUGGCUGACGAGUACGCAAUGUAUUCUACCCUCAAAAGCAAUAUGAUUUCAGUGAGGGGGACAUGCUCUCUAUCAGGAGGUGGUGGUUG